CCUACGGGGCGCAGCAGUGAGGAAUAUUGGUCAAUGGGCGAGAGCCUGAACCAGCCAAGUCGCGUGAGGGAGUACUGCCCUCUGGGUUGUAAACCUCUUUUGUCGGGGAGCAAAAGCCGGACGUGUCCGGCUGUGAGAUUACCCGAAGAAAAAGCAUCGGCUAACGCCGUGCCAGCAGCCGCGGUAAUUCGGAGGAUGCGAGCGUUAUCGGGAUUUAGUGGGGUUAAAGGGUGUGCAGGCGGAUUUUUAAGUCAGCGGGAAAAUCGUGAGGCUAAAGCCCAUCCAGCCGUUGAAACUGGGGAACUGGAGUGUGCGAGAGGUAUGUGGAAUGCGUGGUGUAGCGGUGAAAUGCGUAGAUAUCACGCAGAACACCGAUUGCGAAGGCAGCAUACCGGUGCACAACUGACGCUCAGGCGCGAAAGCGUGGGUAUCGAACAGGAUUAGAUACCCCUGUAGUC
RNAcentral lists this ribosomal RNA (458 nucleotides) under uncultured bacterium. RNAcentral's name for it is "partial 16S ribosomal RNA". It matches the Rfam family "Bacterial small subunit ribosomal RNA", at positions 338 to 795 of the family's 1533-position model. The record is from RNAcentral.